This 132-nucleotide ribosomal RNA is filed under the name uncultured bacterium. Its description in RNAcentral is "partial 16S ribosomal RNA". It matches the Rfam family "Bacterial small subunit ribosomal RNA", at positions 356 to 504 of the family's 1533-position model. The record is from RNAcentral.
GGGGGAUAUUGGACAAUGGGGGAAACCCUGAUCCAGCGACGCCGCGUGAGUGAAGAAGUAUUUCGGUAUGUAAAGCUCUAUCAGCAGGGGAAGAAAAUGACGGUACCUGACUAAGAAGCCCCGGCUAACUAC